AGCGAACGCUGGCGGCAGGCCUAACACAUGCAAGUCGAACGAACUCUUCGGAGUUAGUGGCGGACGGGUGAGUAACACGUGGGAACGUUCCUUUUGGUUCGGAAUAACUCAGGGAAACUUGUGCUAAUACCGAAUGUGCCCUUCGGGGGAAAGAUUUAUCGCCAUUAGAGCGGCCCGCGUCUGAUUAGCUAGUUGGUUAGGUAACGGCUCACCAAGGCGACGAUCAGUAGCUGGUCUGAGAGGAUGACCAGCCACACUGGGACUGAGACACGGCCCAGACUCCUACGGGAGGCAGCAGUGGGGAAUCUUGCGCAAUGGGCGAAAGCCUGACGCAGCCCUGCCGCGUGAAUGAUGAAGGUAUUAGGAUUGUAAAAUUCUUUCACCGGGGACGAUAAUGACGGUACCCGGAGAAGAAGCCCCGGCUAACUUCGUG
This 433-nucleotide ribosomal RNA is filed under the name uncultured bacterium. RNAcentral describes it as "partial 16S ribosomal RNA". It matches the Rfam family "Bacterial small subunit ribosomal RNA", at positions 29 to 507 of the family's 1533-position model. The record is from RNAcentral.